This 397-nucleotide ribosomal RNA is filed under the name uncultured bacterium. Its description in RNAcentral is "partial 16S ribosomal RNA". It matches the Rfam family "Bacterial small subunit ribosomal RNA", at positions 523 to 918 of the family's 1533-position model. The record is from RNAcentral.
CUACGUAGGUGACAAGCGUUAUCCGGAUUUACUGGGUGUAAAGGGCGUGUAGGCGGUUUAGCAAGUCAGAAGUGAAAUUCCCGGGCUUAACUCGGGCGCUGCUUCUGAAACUGCAGGACUUGAGUGCUGGAGGGGAUAGCGGAAUUCCUAGUGGAGCGGUAAAAUGCGCAGAUAUUAGGAAGAACACCGGUGGCGAAGGCGGCUAUCUGGACAGUAACUGACGCUGAGGCGCGAAAGCGUGGGGAGCAAACAGGAUUAGAUACCCUGGUAGUCCACGCCGUAAAUGAUGAAUACUAGGUGUAGGGGGUAUCGACUCCCUCUGUGCCGCAGUUAACACAAUAAGUAUUCCGCCUGGGGAGUACGGCCGCAAGGUUGAAACUCAAAUGAAUUGGCGGGG